This 259-nucleotide long non-coding RNA is filed under the name Dermacentor andersoni. Its description in RNAcentral is "uncharacterized LOC126530257". Lineage: Eukaryota; Metazoa; Arthropoda; Arachnida; Ixodida; Ixodidae. The record is from RNAcentral.
CGCAUUCCGGCGAGUUCGUGCACGCCGUUAGCUUGAGAGUUUCCUGCGUUUUCUGUGUUCUUUGUGUGCUUCGCUGUGACAUCUUUGGAAUAUUCCUGCGUGUUGCUCGCUUUUUAUGGACUUGUUGCCUCGAAGAUCGCCAUGAUCGCCUCCGACUCAGCGACAUCAAGGAUUCAAAAUGAGCUGGGAGAGGCCCCAGCUGGAACGGUUCACAUAGGUUGAAGGAGUGCACAUUGAGAAGGUUAUCCUGGCACAGUUU